This 406-nucleotide ribosomal RNA is filed under the name uncultured bacterium. Its description in RNAcentral is "partial 16S ribosomal RNA". It matches the Rfam family "Bacterial small subunit ribosomal RNA", at positions 30 to 526 of the family's 1533-position model. The record is from RNAcentral.
AUUGAACGCUGUCGGCAGGCCUAACACAUGCAAGUCGGGCGAGCGGCUGACGGGUGAGUAAUGUAUGGGGAUCUGCCUGAUGGUGGGGGAUAACUACUGUAAACGGUAGCUAAUACCGCAUACCAUCAGAUGCACCCAUAUGGGAUUAGCUGGUAGGUAAGGUAACGGCUUACCUAGGCGACGAUCCCUAGCUGGUCUGAGAGGAUGAUAAGCCACACUGGGACUGAGACGCGGCACGGACUCAUACGGGAGGCAGCAGUGGGGAAUAUUGCACAAUGGGAGCAAGCCGGAUGCAGCCAUGCCGCGUGUAUGAAGAAGGCCUUCGGGAUGUAAAGUACUUUCAGUCGGGAGGCGUUACCGAAAGAAGAAGAACCGGCUAACUCCGUGCCAGCAGCAGCGGUAAUAC